This 357-nucleotide long non-coding RNA is filed under the name Panicum hallii. RNAcentral's name for it is "long non-coding RNA (PHAL_LNC000665)". Lineage: Eukaryota; Viridiplantae; Streptophyta; Magnoliopsida; Poales; Poaceae. The record is from RNAcentral.
ACCUGCAGAAUUAAUAUGGCAUACACAUACACACCAUACAAGAUGACAAGCAUAUUACACAACGCAUGGUUACUUCCUACUAAGAUAACAACCUAAUUGCUUGCUUGGAUUGCUAGCAUCGUGGGAACGGUGCCUACUAAAAUUGUACUCCAUCCGACCAUUACUAGUUCUGUACUAACAUGAACAAGUAGAAGAGGAAUGUGAGACAUAUGUUGCAAGAUUCCUCCGUCAGUGGUGCCGUUCUUUAGUCGUCAGCUAGAGAAGCCCCUUGUUGCCCUUGAUUGCAGCACCGCCGGGCACCGGAUGCCGAUUGCCCAUGGCGACAGGGAAGAUGAGGCGCUGCUGGCCUGCAGCUCG